CUACGGGUUGCACCAGUGGGGAAUAUUGCACAAUGGGCGCAAGCCUGAUGCAGCCAUGCCGCGUGUAUGAAGAAGGCCUUCGGGUUGUAAAGUACUUUCAGCGGGGAGGAAGGGAGUAAAGUUAAUACCUUUGCUCAUUGACGUUACCCGCAGAAGAAGCACCGGCUAACUCCGUGCCAGCAGCCGCGGUAAUACGGAGGGUGCAAGCGUUAAUCGGAAUUACUGGGCGUAAAGUGCACGCAGGCGGUUUGUUAAGUCAGAUGUGAAAUCCCUGGGCUCAACCUGGGAACUGCAUCUGAUACUGGCAAGCUUGAGUCUCGUAGAGGGGGGUAGAAUUCCAGGUGUAGCGGUGAAAUGCGUAGAGAUCUGGAGGAAUACCGGUGGCGAAGGCGGCCCCCUGGACGAAGACUGACGCUCAGGUGCGAAAGCGUGGGGAGCAAACAGGAUUAGAUACCCCGGUAGUC
This 464-nucleotide ribosomal RNA is filed under the name uncultured bacterium. Its description in RNAcentral is "partial 16S ribosomal RNA". It matches the Rfam family "Bacterial small subunit ribosomal RNA", at positions 339 to 795 of the family's 1533-position model. The record is from RNAcentral.